Molecule: ribosomal RNA, 566 nt
Filed under: uncultured Actinomycetes bacterium
Lineage: Bacteria; Bacillati; Actinomycetota; Actinomycetes
Description: bacterial SSU rRNA
Rfam family: Bacterial small subunit ribosomal RNA
Source: RNAcentral
AGACAUUACGGGAGGCAGCAGCAGGGAAUCUUGCGCAAUGGGCGAAAGCCUGACGCAGUAACGCCGCGUGGGGGAUGAAUGCCUUCGGGUUGUAAACCCCUUUCAGCAGGGACGAAACUGACGGUACCUGCAGAAGAAGCCCCGGCCAACUACGUGCCAGCAGCCGCGGUAAUACGUAGGGGGCAAGCGUUGUCCGGAUUCAUUGGGCGUAAAGGGCACCUAGGCGGUUACGCAAGUCGGAUGUGAAAGCUCCAGGCUCAACUUGGAGAGGCCACCCGAGACUGCGUUGACUCGAGUCCGGUAGGGGAUCGUGGAAUAUCUGGUGUAGCGGUGAAAUGCGCAGAUAUCAGGUGGAACACCAAUGGCGAAGGCAGCGAUCUGGGCCGGUACUGACGCUGAAGUGCGAAAGCGUGGGGAGCGAACAGGAUUUAGAUACCCUGGUAGUCCACGCCGUAAACGUUUGGCACUAGGUGUGGGGUCCUUACCAACGGGAUCCGUGCCGUAGCUAACGCAUUAAGUGCCCCGCCUGGGGAGUACGGUCGCAAGACUAAAACUCAAAGGAAUUG